Non-coding RNA from Oryza glumipatula, 207 nucleotides. NCBI's taxonomy places the organism in Eukaryota, Viridiplantae, Streptophyta, Magnoliopsida, Poales, Poaceae. The record is from Rfam.
AAUAAAUACAGUUUUACACUAUUCAUGAUCAACGUUUGACCGUUCGUCUUAUUUAAAAUUUUUUAUGAUUAUUAUUUCUAUUGCUAUUAGAUGAUAAAACAUGAAUAGUAUUUUAUGUGUGACUAAAUAUUUUUAAAUUUUUCAUAAAUUUUUCAAAUAAGACAGAUGGUUAAAUAUUAGACAUGAAUAUUCACGGCUGCACUUAUU